CAUCCCCUUGAUGAAAAUUUUCCAGAAUUCUAACGUUAAAAGUAGACUGAAAAAACUUUGAUGUCUAAUAAUUUCUGAGGGAUG
Small nucleolar RNA from Salvia miltiorrhiza (redroot sage), 84 nucleotides. RefSeq annotates it as small nucleolar RNA R21. NCBI's taxonomy places the organism in Eukaryota, Viridiplantae, Streptophyta, Magnoliopsida, Lamiales, Lamiaceae. The transcript has a single exon. The record is from RefSeq and is a predicted model, not a curated record.